AACAGGAUUAGAUACCCUGGUAGUCCAUGCCGUAAACGUUGGGCGCUAGGUGUGGGGUCCAUUCCACGGAUUCCGUGCCGCAGCUAACGCAUUAAGCGCCCCGCCUGGGGAGUACGGCCGCAAGGCUAAAACUCAAAGGAAUUGACGGGGGCCCGCACAAGCGGCGGAGCAUGCGGAUUAAUUCGAUGCAACGCGAAGAACCUUACCAAGGCUUGACAUGCGCGGUGGAAUCCCAGAGAUGGGGUGUCAUUUAGUUGGUCGCGUACAGGUGGUGCAUGGUUGUCGUCAGCUCGUGUCGUGAGAUGUUGGGUUAAGUCCCGCAACGAGCGCAACCCUCGUUCCAUGUUGCCAGCACGUAAUGGUGGGGACUCAUGGGAGACUGCCGGGGUCAACUCGGAGGAAGGUGGGGAUGACGUCAAAUCAUCAUGCCCCUUAUGUCUUGGGCUUCACGCAUGCUACAAUGGCCAGUACAGAGGGCUGCGAUACCGUGAGGUGGAGCGAAUCCCAAAAAGCUGGUCUCAGUUCGGAUCGGGGUCUGCAACUCGACCCCGUGAAGUCGGAGUCGCUAGUAAUCGCAGAUCAGCAACGCUGCGGUGAAUACGUUCCCGGGCCUUGUACACACCGCCCGUCACGUCAUGAAAGUCGGUAACACCCGAAGCCGGUGGCCCAACCCGUAUGGGGGGGAGCUGUCGAAGGUGGGACUGGCGAUUGGGACGAAGUCGUAACAAGGUAACC
Molecule: ribosomal RNA, 735 nt
Filed under: uncultured bacterium
Lineage: Bacteria
Description: bacterial SSU rRNA
Rfam family: Bacterial small subunit ribosomal RNA
Source: RNAcentral